CAGCCGCCGCGGUAAUACGGAGGGGGCUAGCGUUGUUCGGAAUUACUGGGCGUAAAGCGCACGUAGGCGGCUUGGUAAGUUAGAGGUGAAAGCCCGGAGCUCAACUCCGGAAUUGCCUUUAAGACUGCCGAGCUAGUAGGUGAGGGAGGUAAGUGGAAUUCCGAGUGUAGAGGUGAAAUUCGUAGAUAUUCGGAAGAACACCAGUGGCGAAGGCGGCUUACUGGCUCAUUCUAGACGCUGAGGUGCGAAAGCGUGGGGAGCAAACAGGAUUAGAUACCCGAGUAGUCCCUGUCUCUUAUAC
RNAcentral lists this ribosomal RNA (301 nucleotides) under uncultured bacterium. RNAcentral describes it as "partial 16S ribosomal RNA". It matches the Rfam family "Bacterial small subunit ribosomal RNA", at positions 509 to 807 of the family's 1533-position model. The record is from RNAcentral.